This 3923-nucleotide long non-coding RNA is filed under the name Homo sapiens (human). Its description in RNAcentral is "HSALNT0106364". The record is from RNAcentral. Lineage: Eukaryota; Metazoa; Chordata; Mammalia; Primates; Hominidae.
AGUGCUGGGAUUAUAGGCAUGAGCCACCAUGCCUGGUCCUCUACUGGCAUUUUAAAUGAGCAGAGAGUAAGGGGUUUCCUUGGUGUUUUGAAAUGAUGCUUGCCUGCUACUGUGUACCAGAGGUUUCAAUGUGUGUGGGACAAGUACAAGACAGAGUGAAAACUGGUGGACAGCUGCCCUGAAGUCUGAUAUUGAAGGAUCAAACAUCUCCUUUGUGAUUGUCCCCGCUUCACUGAGUCUCCUUUGCUUACUCAUACCCCAAUCUUCUAAGGACAUACCCAAUUUUACUUUGUCUUUGUAUGGACCAAUAAAAGAGGCUAGAACUGAGAUAAGAGAUGUUCUACUUAGGGGCACAUUGGAGACUAGGGCCCAGGAAGAAUAUGAAGACCUGAACUCUACAGCUUUAAUGUAAGUAUCAUGGCACAAAAUGAGAUAUGGGACUUCAGGAAUAAUUUAUUCAAUGCUAAAUAAGGUGAGGAGUGGCAAGUCUAAAAUACAUACCCUCUAUGUACAUUCUAAUCUUGUUCAUCCUCUACAGGUACAACAAUAUACACAUUCACUCACCCAACUCACCAUUUCCUGGCAGCUAAAAUGACAGGAUCUUCUCUACAACUUAUCCCCACCCCCAUCAGUCAUACCCACCUUCUGGAAGUCAGAUCCUUCAGGUGAUUGCCUACUGGCCACAAGGGCACCCAUCAUUUCCGUGGCCUCUGUGGUUUCUAUCCCUGCCUUUCUGGGGGCAGAAAUGUCUGCUGCAGUCCUUCCUUUUGGAAAUCUGAAGACUUUUGGAAUUGCCCCUGAAAAGAAAGGAAGAUAAGUGGGAGCUGCAGAAGCAGUGUUCCCAUCAUGGCCUGGUGCCAUUAUUCCAGAAUGCUGUUGAAGUGAGGGAACCAAUGGCAACCUUGACAUGCCUCAAUGAUACAGUGCUUUGUAUACAAAGACCCAGGACAGAAGCAAGAGGACAGCUGGCUUCUAGAGUGCUAAACACCCAGAAAAUACAAUAGGCAAUUUACAGUUUUUACUGACUUAUAAUUUGCUAAGUAUUCACAAUUUGUUAAUAAAAACAGCUACUAUUACCACAUUGAUUCUUUCAAUGAAUUUUUAUUGAGUACCUGCUAUAUGCCAGACAACUGUGCACUGUGAAUACAAUGAUUAAAAAAAUAGUAAGCAAAGACAGACUUCUUGCUUUGGGGAGUUUAUCAUGUACUUAAGGGGAGCAUAUAUUAAUCAAAGAAACAUAAAUGUAAAAUUACAACCACAUUAAAUGCUACAACAUAAACAUACAUGUUUUAUAUGUAUUCUUCUGGAAGUGUAUAUGGGUUGAGGGCAAAUCAGGAGAGUUGUGAUUUUAAGAGUAGAAGAUUUUCAUUAUAAAUUCAACUUCGUGGCUUAUCGAUGAAUAUUGUAUACACAACUUAGUUAAAAAUUACAUAAAAAUUACUGCAAUUUUAAACUCUAAAGAGAUGUGCUCACAAAACUAUUUGUCCAUGUUCUCACAUAAAUCGUUAAUAAAUGAAGACUUUGUUUAGGUUCUUAUCCUAGAUUUAGUAUGUAAGCUUUGUUAAGGUGAGAACCAAGGUUUAGGGAUAUAUAUUAAUAUAUCAACAAAGCUUGCCUAUAUAUGUUUAUAUAUAUAUUAUCUAUAUUAUAUAUAUAAAAGAAACUAUACUAUAUAUAGUAUAUAUAAAACUAUAUACAUAUAUACAUAUAUAUAUAUGUAAAAGAAACUACCUCACUUAUUUCUGUUACAGGCUACAUCCUCUCUGAACCCUCCUCCAAUUUUUAAAAUUACACUUUAUGUUCCUAUUGGAUGCAUGUGUCCUGUAUGUCCACCUCCCCACCCCAUUCUUCCUCAGUCCUGGAAUCUGGCAGACUGAUAAAUUGACUAUGUGCUGGCAUGCUCUGCUACCAAAAUACUAACUUUCUGACUUUUUAGAAAGAUGAAGUGUCAUGGGCGAAGUAAUACUUAACUAUAUUAUUCAGCAAUAUUAGCAGAAUAUUAUGUGCCCUGUGAAUAUAAUAUGGCUUGUAAAGCAGGAAGCCCCCCAUUUGCAAGGCCAGGGGGAAUUUUUAGCGGGUUAUACACCUUAGGUAAAAUUAGGUAUUUGCCCAAAUUUAAACAUAAUUGCUGAUCAUCUGCUUCUCACAAUUGAGGAUAUCUGAUAAAAGUUGUUCCUGAUGUUUGUAAAAUUUAAAACAUAGUUAUAUUACACCAUAAGCUGCAUUUAAAAUUCAGGGCCCAUUUCUUCCAUGUGCCUAAGUCUCCUAAGUUGAAAGUUUAUUCAGUACUGUGAUAGUAGAGAACAACAAAAAAAUAUGCUCUAUCUCCAGCUACUGGGUUAGAAUUCUGUCCUUCCUUUCACCUGUCUUCUCUGGAUAGGUUCCAAAGCUAGAUCCCACUAACCAAAAGGAAGGAGGCAGCAACACUUCCUGCCCAGAAUACAGAAUCCUCAAAGUUCUCCCUCUGCUGGUUCAAGGAAGAUAUAAAGAAUGUCACUCCCGUAACUCUUAAGUGAGCAUUAUUUUUGAAAAAGCCGGAUUGGUAGAUGCCUUUGGUGUAAAUCCUGAAGUUAUCCAGAGAAUACAAGAGGAGUUACUACCAAAGCUUAGGCUCAAAGUACUCCAGCCCUAGCUACCUGAACUAGUUCUGCCCUUCCUACAAUAAAUUUUGCCUCUUUUUCUCUUCUCACUCAAGUAGCCCCCUCCUAACCUACAGGGUAAGAUUUCAAUGCCCUCUGAGGAAGUAAGGUUAGGAUUGGGAUCUUGAUAUGGUUACCUCCUCCCAACUCUUUCUCUAAAACCAUCAGUCUCCCCCUAAAGGGAAGUGGAACUAAGUGAACAGGACUGAAAAUCAGCACAAACUGGCAUUAAAAAUUAUGUUCCCUGAAUUCCUAUAGAUAACCUGCUAUAACAGGGAGGGAGUAGUUCUCUGGGAAAACAAAUCUCUCUGAAGCUUACUUGGGUUUAAACUCUUCUAAAUGGCACCUUUUGAGUUAGUCUAUGGUUUCCAAGCAAGAAAACUGCAUUGAACUCAGGCUUUGUCCUAAAAACCAGGGCUAGAAAGGUGACAUGGGCAGGAUACCCUGACCCUGUACAUAUUGGUGCUAGGAUAAAGAUAACGAUUCUUAUCUCAAAGGAAACAACACAAAACAACUCUGUGACACAGUAAGGUAAACUAACUUGUCUAAAAUCACAGCAAGGUAAAUGACUGAGGCACAGUCAAGGAUCUAGCUCUCCCAAAUCUGUGUCCUUUCCAUAACAUAAGAGAGGCCAGAAUGACUUCUAAAUUGACAUUAGUCAAAAAAAUUAAAAAUCCUUCCCAAUGUUGACCUAGGGAUUUUAUAGCUCUGUACAUAAGGAAACAGGAAAAAAAAAAUUGGGGGAGCGGGGAGGUUAAUCCAGAUCAGCAAUUUUGUAUUAUCUUUGAGGAACAGGUGGGUAAAUAAGACUCCGAAGGCCCUGUUGAGUCAGGUUAUAAACUGCUGACAACAGGGAUACAAGAGGAAACUGGGACAGAGAAAAUCUGAGGACUGAGCUCCCUAAUUCCCAAGAGCAAGAACCUGAUUGUCCUAGGGGAGCUCAGUUCCCAGAAAAUCCUACGGAGAGUCAACACAAAGGUAUAUAAAAAGCUUCACAACAGGAAGAUACCAAUACCAGACAACUGUUGCCUACUCACUACCCACCCAGGCUGCGCUGGGGCAGACUAUAUAUCCUAACAUUCUGGCAUGAAGUAGUUCUGACAAGUGAGGAAAGCAUGGUUGCGGGUGCGGAUAGACAAUAGGGCAGCAGGGAUUCACUGUUCUAGUUUUCCUUUGGAGUUCAAAUGUGUGUGAUUUCAAAACAAAAAUCCAGAAGGAAACAUGAGAUUAAUGCAUUUAUUCCAAGUAAUUAACACAUUAAAAAUAAAGUUAAACUUGUCCAAG